AGAAUUCAUUUUGUUCCAGACAGUUCUAAAAGAGAUGAAGUUUCUCUCUCUUCUCUCCAUCUCCGAUUCUCCAUGUUCUCAUGGAAUCAGAGCGUGGUUCUUCUUCUCGGAUGUCUCAUCUCUGUUCUUAGUCCUUCCUGUCCAGCAUUAUUGAGUUAUAGGUGGUGAUUCUGGAUUUUGUUUUUUUGCGAUUUGUUGGUGGAAUCGGAUAUGUUUUCAGUCCCUUUAUAUGGAUUGUUGUUGUUUUUUCAAGCGUGGUGUUUAGGGUAAACUUCCGACACCUUUCGCGGUUGAUUCUCACGGAUUCAGAAGCGUUGGAUUUGCAUUGAACAAAGCUAGGGUUUUCUCUGAAUUUUUGAAGGCCGCUCUUCUCUGGUAGCGUAGAAGUCGAGUAACCCUAUUCUCACUUUCGAUAAGAGCUUGCAUGUGUUUUUUCUGGAUAAUAUGGUGUAUCGAGUAGUCCACGGAUAUUGAAUCAAUUUCUCUUCAACACUGUUCUUUUGUUUCUGAUAACAAAUAUGAAUCCUAAUAAUGCUUCACCCAUUGACCCUACAAGCCCUUUCUUUGUUUACUCUUCUGAUGUUCCUGGUGUUUCACUUGUUCCUA
RNAcentral lists this long non-coding RNA (606 nucleotides) under Nicotiana benthamiana. RNAcentral describes it as "long non-coding RNA (NBEN_LNC006804)". The record is from RNAcentral. Lineage: Eukaryota; Viridiplantae; Streptophyta; Magnoliopsida; Solanales; Solanaceae.